This 468-nucleotide ribosomal RNA is filed under the name uncultured bacterium. Its description in RNAcentral is "partial 16S ribosomal RNA". It matches the Rfam family "Bacterial small subunit ribosomal RNA", at positions 28 to 507 of the family's 1533-position model. The record is from RNAcentral.
GACGAACGCUGGCGGCGUGCUUAACACAUGCAAGUCGAACGGAAAGGCCCUGCUUUUGUGGGGUGCUCGAGUGGCGAACGGGUGAGUAACACGUGAGUAACCUGCCCUUGACUUUGGGAUAACUUCAGGAAACUGGGGCUAAUACCGGAUAGGAGCUCCUGCUGCAUGGUGGGCGUUGGAAAGUUUCGGCGGUUGGGGAUCGACUCGCGGCUUAUCAGCUUGUUGGUGGGGUAGUGGCUUACCAAGGCUUUGACGGGUAGCCGGCCUGAGAGGGGGACCGGGCACAAUGGGACUGAGGUACGGCCCAGACGGCUACGGGGGGCAGCAGGGGGGAAUAUUGCACAAUGGGCGGAAGCCUGAUGCAGCAACGCCGCGUGCGGGAUGACGGCCUUCGGGUUGUAAACCGCUUUCGCCUGUGACGAAGCGGGAGUGACGGUAAUGGGUAAAGAAGCACCGGCUAACUACGUG